Molecule: long non-coding RNA, 912 nt
Filed under: Struthio camelus australis
Lineage: Eukaryota; Metazoa; Chordata; Aves; Struthioniformes; Struthionidae
Description: lncRNA (ENSSCUG00000010945.1)
Source: RNAcentral
CUGGAAGUGCUUAGAUAUAAAUUGACACACUUUUGGCUUCUAACUCAUGUUAUCUACUGUGUAUUUAACAGAUAACCUUUGGCUUUGCCCUGUUUUUGUUUACAAUUCAGAGUCCAAAGUGACUUCACUGAAAGUUUAUUUGACAGUUGUGAGAGCAAAAUCAUGCUUGUUGGACUAACCUGAAAGCUUCUAUGCCGCGUUCAUCCUGUGAUAGUGUUAAACAUUUAUUAAAAAAACAUUUUAUUCUAAUUUGGUUCUGGCAUUGCCCCCACAAUUGUAUCCAGCAUCUGGGACUUUUUCUCCCAUCCUGAGCUAAAGUGUUGGGGGUUUCAUUUCGAGUCCCAGUUCAGGUGUGUGCGGUGGGCUGGGCUGUCUCUGCAGCGUGCCCAUGGUCAAAGAACGAGGCCUGGAGAGACAGGGUGGUGAAGCUUGCCUCGAUCCUCAGCCCUUGGGGAGUGCAUCGCAUAGCCUCCAGCUGCCCUGAGAAAGCAGCCACCUUCGCAGGCUGCUACCAGCUAAGACGCUGUUAUCCAGAAUGUCCGUGUACCCAUGUGUGGGGUGGAUGUGAAACCAAGCUGCCCUCUGGGAAGGAGAUUGUCAGCUGUUAGGAGGAAAGAAAAUGUGAAGAGCAAAUUGAUGAUAGCUGCUGACAUCUUUGCAGGGCAGACCAUGACAUCAGUCUCCAGAGCAAUAGGAGGUGGCAGGCAUCCUGAGAAGAUCUGUGCUUUCAAGGAUUUGUCUAUUGCCAGGAAGCUCUCCUCACCAUGCACCUGCAAAGGUAACAGACAGCAGUGAUAGAGCACACCUGCUUUCGUUCGGCACCUCCCUCCUACCAUUUGAGAGAAGUCUUCUGCCCUCUUAGCUGGUCUUUUCUACAGCAUGGGCUCUAAUAAAAUUGGUAUGUUAUGUGCA